This 91-nucleotide transfer RNA is filed under the name Variovorax guangxiensis. Its description in RNAcentral is "tRNA-Trp". The record is from RNAcentral. Lineage: Bacteria; Pseudomonadati; Pseudomonadota; Betaproteobacteria; Burkholderiales; Comamonadaceae.
GGCCGAGCGCGCCCAGUCCAUCACGGGACCGAUCGCAGGGGACUCCAAGUCCCCAGCCGCAAGGCGUGCCGGUUCGAUUCCGGCCCGGGCA